CCUACGGGUGGCAGCAGUGAGGAAUAUUGGUCAAUGGGCGAGAGCCUGAACCAGCCAAGUCGCGUGAGGGAGUACUGCCCUAUGGGUUGUAAACCUCUUUUGUCGGGGAGCAAAACCCGGUCGUUUCCGCCUGUCUGAGUACCCCUAGAAAAAGCAUCGGCUAACUCCGUGUCAGCAGCCGCGGUAAUACGGAGGAUGCGAGCGUUAUCCGGAUUUAUUGGGUUUAAAGGGUGCGCAGGCGGAUUUUUAAGUCAGCGGUAAAAUCGUGGGGCUCAACCCCAUCCAGCCGUUGAAACUGGGGAUCUAGAGUGUGCGAGAGGUAUGCGGAAUGCGUGGUGUAGCGGUGAAAUGCAUAGAUAUCACGCAGAACCCCGAUUGCGAAGGCAGCAUACCGGUGCACAACUGACGCUCAGGCACGAAAGCGUGGGUAUCGAACAGGAUUAGAUACCCUAGUAGUC
This 458-nucleotide ribosomal RNA is filed under the name uncultured bacterium. RNAcentral's name for it is "partial 16S ribosomal RNA". It matches the Rfam family "Bacterial small subunit ribosomal RNA", at positions 338 to 795 of the family's 1533-position model. The record is from RNAcentral.